CUGGAGAGAGUGAUCUGAUUCUUCUGAAGCGCAUGUCAGAGAGGAGGAGGAGGGAGGGAAUGAACCAGGAAGAGCGAGCGAGAGAGAGAAGGCAGCCUCCGGUUGACAGUACAUGGAGGUCUGCAGGAGCUCCAGAACCAGGAAGCAUCCCUUGCUGCUGCGCCUGGUGUGUGUUCCGCCUGCUGCUAUCACAAGGGGCUGCAGGGCUUUCAUCACCACUGAAUGGUAUGCUGUCCUGAUGUCUCUCUCAAAGCCAGGAGGACUGACGUGGCGUCAGAGACUUCCAGGUUCUCUGUGGAUCAGCCCCUGAGAGCUGUAGGAUCCACGCAGGAGGAUGCAGGGCCUCAGGAGGAACAGCUCCAGCCAGCUCUGACUUCUGGUGGGGCAGGACAGCUGGUGUUGUGAAUCAGGCCGCUAUAGUGCCAGACACGGCUUCUUCCCAACACCAGGGUCACACCCCACUGUCCGCAGCACCGAAGCCCCGGAGCCCAGCCCUCUCCCUCACCGGCAGCAAGGCACAGCAGCAGAUCACAGGAGGACAGAUCAAAAUGCAUGCCGAGACUAGUGGAGGAUGUCUUUCAAAAACAGACUAGUCAAAGUUAAUUACAAAUAAACUAAAUAUUCCACUGUGUGUCUGGGGCAUAAGAGGAGGAUUUGAGCAUCGUCCGAAGCAUAACCACCAUUGUUUAAUUCUCAAUUGUGAUUAAAGUAGAGUUGUAUUGUAUUGACUUGCCCUAUGACAGUUUCUGUGUGUCUGCACACUAGGACUAGGAUUCAACAUCAGUGAACUAUCAGAGCAUAAGACAGUACAACUAGAGAGAGGACAGUGCCUCUCUGAACAAGUGUGAUGGGAACAGUGGCGGUUCUAGACCAUUUCAACUGGGGGGGGGGCCAAGCUGGGGCCAGUUGUACUGUUAGAGGGGCCAGUUACAUUAGACGUUAUUGUUGUCAUAUCGUUUUCUUCACUGCAUUGCAGGCAUUAGCAGGCAAAAGACCAUGUUCAUAAUCAUUAGUGUUCCGCGUUGCCACUGUCUAAUAACAGAUGUAAAAAAAGAAGGAUAGCAAAAAUUUGUUAUGUAAAAAUUAUUUCAUACUCCACAAAGCAUGACAAAUGAAAGGCUGGGUGUAUUCCUUUGUCUGGGAUUAAAUUGAAAAUGGAUUUUGAUGUUAGUCUCAGUCUUAGUAUCAGUACGCUUUGUUGGCAUCCCUCUGUGCUGCUUUUAUUUCACUUUAUAUUAUAUACUUUUAUUAAAACUCAUCAAAGGACUUUUUAUUUGUUAUUCGUUACGGAACGAAUGUUAUGUUUUCAUUGUGUGGUGGUAGUUUGUGAGUGAAAGUGUUUAAGUACAAUUGUGAAUUAGUUUUUGCAUCAUUAUUCCAAUAAUAAAGCAGGAUACAUGUGAACAACUA
This is a non-coding RNA of Salmo salar (Atlantic salmon), 1410 nucleotides long. Lineage: Eukaryota; Metazoa; Chordata; Actinopteri; Salmoniformes; Salmonidae. The record is from RefSeq and is a predicted model, not a curated record.